This 1419-nucleotide ribosomal RNA is filed under the name metagenome. RNAcentral describes it as "bacterial LSU rRNA". It matches the Rfam family "Bacterial large subunit ribosomal RNA", at positions 1379 to 2854 of the family's 2925-position model. The record is from RNAcentral.
CCGGGGACCUAAGGAUAAGCCGAAGGCGAUUCCGAUGGACAACGGGUUAAUAUUCCCGUACUGUUUGCAUUGCGAUGGAGGGACGCAGGAGUGACACUGCCGCCACGAGACGGAAUUCGUGGUUAAAGGGUGUAGGGAAACCGAAGCCCGACAGUACCGCAAGGCCUCGGCCGAGCGGAUAGUGCAGGUAAUCAAGCUGCCUAGAAAAGCUCCUAAGCUUCAGAUGCAAAUACCAGUACCGCAAACCGACACAGGUGGUCGAGGAGAGUAUCCUAAGGCGCUCGAGUGAUUCACAGCUAAGGAACUCGGCAAAUUCGUCCUGUAACUUCGGGAGAAGGGACGCCUACCCUCGCGAGAGGGAGGCCGCAGUGAAGAGGCCCAGGCGACUGUUUAGCAAAAACACAUGGCUUUGCGAAUUCGAAAGACGACGUAUAAGGCCUGACACCUGCCCGGUGCUGGAAGGUUAAGAGGGGGGGUCAUCCGCAAGGAGAAGCUCUGAAUCGAGGCCCCAGUAAACGGCGGCCGUAACUAUAACGGUCCUAAGGUAGCGAAAUUCCUUGUCGGGUAAGUUCCGACCUGCACGAAUGGUGUAACGAUCUGGGCACUGUCUCGGCUGUGAGCUCGGUGAAAUUGUACUGCCGGUGAAGAUGCCGGCUACCCGCAAUGGGACGAAAAGACCCCGUGAACCUUCACUACAGCUUUGCAUUGACAACGGGCCAGGGAUGUGUAGGAUAGGUGGGAGGCUGCGAACCGGUAUCGCCAGGUAUCGGGGAGCCAGCGGUGAAAUACCACCCUUCCCUUGCUUGUUGCCUAACCCCGCGAGGGAGACAGUGCAUGGCGGGUAGUUUGACUGGGGUGGUCGCCUCCAAAAGGGUAACGGAGGCUUCCAAAGGUCUGCUCAGCACGCUUGGUAACCGUGCGUAGAGUGCAAUAGCAUAAGCAGGCUUGACUGAGAGACUUACAAGUCGCACAGGUAGGAAACUAGGGUAUAGUGAUCCGGCGCUACCGCGUGGAAGGGCCGUCGCUCAAAGGAUAAAAGGUACUCCGAGGAUAACAGGCUGAUCUCCCCCAAGAGCUCAUAUCGACGGGGAGGUUUGGCACCUCGAUGUCGGCUCGUCACAUCCUGGGGCUGGAGAAGGUCCCAAGGGUUCGGCUGUUCGCCGAUUAAAGUGGCACGCGAGCUGGGUUCAGAACGUCGCGAGACAGUUCGGUCUCUAUCUAUUGCGUCGUUAGACGUUUGAGAGGGGCUGGCCUUAGUACGAGAGGACCGGGUCGGACGAACCUCUGGUGCACCUGUUGUGACGCCAGUUGCAGCGCAGGGUAGCUAUGUUCGGAAGAGAUAAGCACUGAAAGCAUCUAAGUGCGAAACUCGCCUCAAGAUAAGACGUCUUUAUAAGGGUCCUGGGAGACGACCAGGUU